RNAcentral lists this microRNA precursor (60 nucleotides) under Eisenia fetida (common brandling worm). RNAcentral's name for it is "Efe-Mir-29-P1j_pre stem-loop". Lineage: Eukaryota; Metazoa; Annelida; Clitellata; Crassiclitellata; Lumbricidae. The record is from RNAcentral.
CUGCUUUCCUCUGGUGACUGGAUUAGAACGACUUUUUCUAGCACCAGUUGAAAUCAGCUU